RNAcentral lists this ribosomal RNA (717 nucleotides) under Stagonosporopsis pogostemonis. RNAcentral describes it as "partial large subunit ribosomal RNA". It matches the Rfam family "Eukaryotic large subunit ribosomal RNA", at positions 212 to 949 of the family's 3401-position model. The record is from RNAcentral. Lineage: Eukaryota; Fungi; Ascomycota; Dothideomycetes; Pleosporales; Didymellaceae.
GUGAGAAUCCCGUACGUGGUCGCUAGCCUCUACCGUGUAAAGCCCCUUCGACGAGUCGAGUUGUUUGGGAAUGCAGCUCUAAAUGGGAGGUAAAUUUCUUCUAAAGCUAAAUACUGGCCAGAGACCGAUAGCGCACAAGUAGAGUGAUCGAAAGAUGAAAAGCACUUUGGAAAGAGAGUUAAAAAGCACGUGAAAUUGUUGAAAGGGAAGCGCUUGCAGCCAGACUUGCCUGUAGUUGCUCAUCCGGGUUUCUACCCGGUGCACUCUUCUAUAGGCAGGCCAGCAUCAGUUUGGGCGGUUGGAUAAAGGUCUCUGUCAUGUACCUCCUCUCGGGGAGAACUUAUAGGGGAGACGACAUGCAACCAGCCCGGACUGAGGUCCGCGCAUCUGCUAGGAUGCUGGCGUAAUGGCUGUAAGCGGCCCGUCUUGAAACACGGACCAAGGAGUCUAACAUCUAUGCGAGUGUUUGGGUGUCAAGCCCGAACGCGUAAUGAAAGUGAACGGAGGUGGGAACCUUUCGGGGUGCACCAUCGACCGAUCCUGAUGUCUUCGGAUGGAUUUGAGUAAGAGCAUAGCUGUUGGGACCCGAAAGAUGGUGAACUAUGCUUGAAUAGGGUGAAGCCAGAGGAAACUCUGGUGGAGGCUCGCAGCGGUUCUGACGUGCAAAUCGAUCGUCAAAUUUGGGCAUAGGGGCGAAAGACUAAUCGAACAUCAGUG